MicroRNA precursor from Bos grunniens (domestic yak), 75 nucleotides. The record is from Ensembl. Lineage: Eukaryota; Metazoa; Chordata; Mammalia; Artiodactyla; Bovidae.
GUAGAUGCUGAAUUGAAUUGUCAUAAAUACAAGGGUAUGCUUUUGUGUUGUUUUUUGUUUUGAUGAGGUAUUCAU